UUAGGAAUCUUGGGCAAUGGGCGAAAGCCUGACCCAGCCAUGCCGCGUGAAUGAUGAAGGUCCUAGGAUUGUAAAAUUCUUUCACCGGGGAAGAUAAUGACGGUACCCGGAGAAGAAGCUCCGGCUAACUUCGUGCCAGCAGCCGCGGUAAUACGAAGGGGGCUAGCGUUGCUCGGAAUUACUGGGCGUAAAGGGCGCGUAGGCGGACGACUAAGUUGGGGGUGAAAUCCCAGGGCUCAACCCUGGAACUGCCUCCAAAACUGGUCGUCUUGAGUAUGGGAGAGGUGUGUGGAACUCCGAGUGUAGAGGUGAAAUUCGUAGAUAUUCGGAAGAACACCAGUGGCGAAGGCGACACACUGGCCCAUUACUGACGCUGAGGCGCGAAAGCGUGGGGAGCAAA
Molecule: ribosomal RNA, 400 nt
Filed under: uncultured bacterium
Lineage: Bacteria
Description: bacterial SSU rRNA
Rfam family: Bacterial small subunit ribosomal RNA
Source: RNAcentral